GCAACUGAAGCCAUUUCCCUGCUCUGAGACCUCGGACAAGUCACUCCCCGCCAGGGCUGCAGUUUCCUGUCUCUAAAAGGAGUUGAUGAGCAGCUCUAGCUUCAGGGAUGUUUCCCGGACCGAGUGUGGCUUCAGAGUCAGAGAGAUGUGAGUUCAAGACCACUUGCUUAGGAGGAAGCAAAAGAGGAGGAGAAGGCAGAGGAAGGCGACGACUGAGAACAAAAGAAGAGCAGUGGCAAAGGAGUGAGCUCCAUGGGUGGCUUUUGUGGACAAGAUGCGACCACCUCAUGAGGAUCAAGAUGUACUCCUUGCUCUUCUCUGCACAGCAGUCUCAAAACUAGGCUACACCGUCUGUCUCCUCUGGUCACCAUUUUGAGAGGCAGCAAGGGUCUUCCUAACCCUCAGCUCCCUCUGAUUUUUGGAAUUCAGAUUUGGAUUUUGGAUGUACAUCAAGAGGCUGGCUCCACGCAUUUUAAUUAAGUUGUCUUUUUUCAUUUAUUACGGAUGUAGGGGCUGGGGCCGCUGUCACGACCUCAAAACCA
Molecule: long non-coding RNA, 542 nt
Filed under: Homo sapiens (human)
Lineage: Eukaryota; Metazoa; Chordata; Mammalia; Primates; Hominidae
Description: HSALNT0155138
Source: RNAcentral